Molecule: long non-coding RNA, 427 nt
Filed under: Prunus persica (peach)
Lineage: Eukaryota; Viridiplantae; Streptophyta; Magnoliopsida; Rosales; Rosaceae
Description: long non-coding RNA (PPER_LNC005586)
Source: RNAcentral
AGGGCCAUAGCCGCGAUCACUUCCCCUUUGUCAUUUUUAACAACAACACCAAUUCCACCAACACCUGUUUUGGGAAUAUAAGCAGCAUCUACAUUCAAUUUAUAUUUACCUGCAAGAGGAGGAGACUAUUUGGUUAGCUUGUCAACAUCUAUUUUAGGUUCACCUUUCACAAGAUUUCCAUAUUCGGCGAUUUACGUCUUCCUGAAUUGGGAGAGCAAGCACAAGUCUCUCUUCUUCUUUUUUUUCUUUUUCUUUUACCCUUUAUUGGAACUUUAAAAAUUCAUCGGCCAAGUAAAGAGCUCUUUUGAAAAUCGCCCCCUUUGCACAAGACCAACCUUCAACAACUACUUUAUUUAUGUUUUGCCAUAAGCUCCAGCAGAUAUAUAAAAACAAGCGCAUUUCAUACUUCGAAAAAUAAAUAGUGGCA